RNAcentral lists this ribosomal RNA (374 nucleotides) under uncultured bacterium. Its description in RNAcentral is "bacterial SSU rRNA". It matches the Rfam family "Bacterial small subunit ribosomal RNA", at positions 29 to 430 of the family's 1533-position model. The record is from RNAcentral.
AACGAACGCUGGCGGCAUGCCUAACACAUGCAAGUCGAACGAAGCCUUCGGGCUUAGUGGCGCACGGGUGCGUAACGCGUGGGAAUCUGCCCUUGGGUUCGGAAUAACAGUUAGAAAUGACUGCUAAUACCGAAUGAUGUCUUCGGACCAAAGAUUUAUCGCCCAAGGAUGAGCCCGCGUCGGAUUAGCUAGUUGGUGAGGUAAAGGCUCACCAAGGCGACGAUCCGUAGCUGGUCUGAGAGGAUGAUCAGCCACACUGGGACUGAGACACGGCCCAGACUCCUACGGGAGGCAGCAGUGGGGAAUAUUGGACAAUGGCGGAAAGCCUGAUCCAGCAAUGCCGCGUGAGUGAUGAAGGCCUUAGGGUUGUAAAG